AAUAUUCGACAAUGGGCGCAAGCCUGAUCCAGCCAUUCCGCGUGAGAGAUGAAGGUUCUAGGGUUGUAAAGCUCUUUCAUCGGUGAAGAUAAUGACGGUAACCGGAGAAGAAGCCCCGGCUAACUUCGUCCCAGCAUCCGCGGUAGUACGUAGGGGGCUAGCGUUGUUCGGAAUUACUGGGCGUAAAGCGCGCGUAGGCGGAUUGGUCAGUUAGGGGUGAAAUCCCAGGGCUCAAACCUGGAACUGCCUUUAAUACUGCCAGUCUUGAGUAUGGAAGAGGUGAGGGGAAUUCCGAGUGUAGAGGUGAAAUUCGUAGAUAUUCGGAGGAACACCAGUGGCGAAGGCGGCUCACUGGUCCAUUACUGACGCUGGGGUGCGAAAGCGUGGGGAGCAAACAG
Molecule: ribosomal RNA, 398 nt
Filed under: uncultured bacterium
Lineage: Bacteria
Description: partial 16S ribosomal RNA
Rfam family: Bacterial small subunit ribosomal RNA
Source: RNAcentral